Molecule: ribosomal RNA, 665 nt
Filed under: uncultured cyanobacterium
Lineage: Bacteria; Bacillati; Cyanobacteriota
Description: bacterial SSU rRNA
Rfam family: Bacterial small subunit ribosomal RNA
Source: RNAcentral
CGGACGGGUGAGUAACGCGUGAGAAUUUGCCUUUAGGAGGGGGACAACAACUGGAAACGGUUGCUAAUACCCCAUAUGCUUUCGAGUGAAACGGUUUUUCCGCCUAAAGAGAAGCUUGCGGCUGAUUAGCUUGUUGGUGAGGUAAUGGCUCACCAAGGCGACGAUCAGUAUCUGGUUUGAGAGGACGAUCAGACACACUGGAACUGAGACACGGUCCAGACUCCUACGGGAGGCAGCAGUGGGGAAUUUUCCGCAAUGGGCGAAAGCCUGACGGAGCAAUACCGCGUGAAGGAUGACGGCCUAUGGGUUGUAAACUUCUUUUUUCAGGGAGGAAUCAAUGACGUGUACCUGAAGAAUAAGCAUCGGCUAACUCCGUGCCAGCAGCCGCGGUAAGACGGAGGAUGCAAGUGUUAUCCGGAAUCACUGGGCGUAAAGCGUCUGUAGGUGGUCCAAUAAGUCAACUGUUAAAUCUUGAGGCUCAACCUCAAAAUCGCAGUCGAAACUAUUAGACUAGAGUAUAGUAGGGGUAAAGGGAAUUUCCAGUGGAGCGGUGAAAUGCGUAGAGAUUGGAAAGAACACCGAUGGCGAAGGCACUUUACUGGGCUAUUACUAACACUCAGAGACGAAAGCUAGGGUAGCAAAUGGGAUUAGAUACCCCAGUAGUC